This 468-nucleotide ribosomal RNA is filed under the name uncultured bacterium. RNAcentral's name for it is "partial 16S ribosomal RNA". It matches the Rfam family "Bacterial small subunit ribosomal RNA", at positions 28 to 507 of the family's 1533-position model. The record is from RNAcentral.
GACGAACGCUGGCGGCGUGCUUAACACAUGCAAGUCGAACGGAAAGGCCCUGCGUUUGUGGGGUGCUCGAUUGGCGAACGGGUGAGUAACACGUGUGGAACCUGCCCUUGACUUUGGGAUAACUUCAGGAAACUGGGGCUAAUACCGGAUAUGAUCUCCUGCUGCAUGUGGUUGGUUGGAAAGUUUCGGCGGUUGGGGAUGGACUCGCGGCUUACGAGCUUGUUUGUGUGGUAGUGGCUUACCAAGGCUUUGACGGGUAGCCGGCCUGAGAGGGUGACCGGCCACAUUGGGACUGAGAUACGGACCAGACUCCUACGGGCGGCAGCAGUGGGGAAUAUUGCACAAUGGGCGGAAGCCUGAUGCAGAAACGCCGCGUGCGGGAUGCCGGCCUUCGGGUUGUAAACAGCUUUCGCAUGUGACGAAGCGUGAGUGACGGUAAUGGGUAAAGAAGCACCGGCUAACUACGUG